RNAcentral lists this ribosomal RNA (450 nucleotides) under uncultured bacterium. Its description in RNAcentral is "SSU rRNA". It matches the Rfam family "Bacterial small subunit ribosomal RNA", at positions 26 to 518 of the family's 1533-position model. The record is from RNAcentral.
AGGAUGAACGCUGGCGGUCUGCUUAACACAUGCAAGUCGAACGGAGUACCUCGGUACUUAGUGGCGGACGGGUGAGUAACGCGUGAGAAUCUGCCCUUAGGUCGGGGACAACCAUUGGAAACGAUGGCUAAUACCGGAUAAGCCGAGAGGUAAAAGAUUAAUUGCCUAGGGAAGAGCUCGCGUCUGAUUAGCUAGUUGGUGAGGUAAAGGCUCACCAAGGCAUCGAUCAGUAGCUGGUCUGAGAGGAUGAUCAGCCACACUGGGACUGAGACACGGCCCAGACUCCUACGGGAGGCAGCAGUGGGGAAUUUUCCGCAAUGGGCGAAAGCCUGACGGAGCAAGACCGCGUGAGGGAGGAAGGCUCUUGGGUUGUAAACCUCUUUUCUUGGGGAAGAACAAAAUGACGGUACCCAAGGAAUCAGCAUCGGCUAACUCCGCGCCAGCAGCCGC